Molecule: ribosomal RNA, 244 nt
Filed under: uncultured Anaplasma sp.
Lineage: Bacteria; Pseudomonadati; Pseudomonadota; Alphaproteobacteria; Rickettsiales; Anaplasmataceae
Description: partial 16S ribosomal RNA
Rfam family: Bacterial small subunit ribosomal RNA
Source: RNAcentral
GGUAAUACGGAGGGGGCAAGCGUUGUUCGGAAUUAUUGGGCGUAAAGGGCAUGUAGGCGGUUUGGUAAGUUAAAGGUGAAAUACCAGGGCUUAACCCUGGGGCUGCUUUUAAUACUGCAGGACUAGAGUCCGGAAGAGGAUAGCGGAAUUCCUAGUGUAGAGGUGAAAUUCGUAGAUAUUAGGAGGAACACCAGUGGCGAAGGCGGCUGUCUGGUCCGGUACUGACGCUGAGGUGCGAAAGCGU